Tympanuchus pallidicinctus (lesser prairie-chicken) is the source of this 1266-nucleotide long non-coding RNA. RefSeq lists it as uncharacterized. The record is from RefSeq and is a predicted model, not a curated record. Lineage: Eukaryota; Metazoa; Chordata; Aves; Galliformes; Phasianidae. The transcript has 3 exons.
UCAAGUUGCCCAGCACCAAAUAUUCAUCUCCUACCACUCUAGAUGCCAAUGUUUGUUUUCUGUCUGGGAGAAGAAACAGACAGCACUUUUCACUUUAAUAAAAAUCUUUCAGAAUGAAGCAAACAGAUGACCUAAUUUGGAGGAUCUGCUGCUUUCCUUGGUUUGCCCGUGACUUAGGAGCAGAACUUAAUGCCCCAAAAUCAAGAAGAAGGGGUAAGAAGAAUGCUGAAGAGGAAGAAACAUGAAACCUAAAUCCUCCAUUUCCUACAUCACACCCUGUUGCAUGCUGAAAGAGCAUUCCUGUUGUCACUGAGCUGCAGAAAUUUAGAUUCUGAAGCCCACUGAAGAAAACAAUCACUGCAAAGAAGUACCAAAUCUCUUGCAAACUCUCCCCUGAUCACUGCAUUCAAAGAUCUACCAGCAGCUGUUGAUGUAACGUUAUGGAUGUUUAGCAGGACUUCCUGUAUCUAAUGAACAUAGCUCUUUCAGUGAGGAGACAAAGUGCAAUGCUGUCCCAGGAAAAUAAAAACGAUGUAACAUUCAGUCAGGAAUGCACUUACUACACGGCCUGGAAUCAGGAAUUGAUCUCAUGCCUCUGUAACAAAGAUCCCAUCUGUAGUCCCAUGCGGGGAGGGCACUGACACUGCUUCAGAAGGGAAGUGGUUAUCCUGCUCCCAAAAGGAACUGAUUAGGGGAGAUGUUCCAGAAGCUAUUCGAUACAGACUGCACAAUUCAGGAUGGUAUUUAUACAGUGAGUCAAAAAACUACACAGUAUUCUCAAAUAUUUUAUGUCCAACAGUGCCAACAGCUUUGUCAACUGACAGUGAAAAUUAAACUUUAAGAGAAAUGAGGCGUAUAAGUGUUUUUAAAACCUUGCUCCUUAUUUGUGCCUUUCUGCACAGAGGAUGUGCCCAGGGAUAUGGGAAGCAAAAUACAAAGUUGUGAGGUGGUGUUGGAAACAAGGACGAGGCAACACAGGCAGCUUGUAAGAAAGGCUUUCAGCAUCUUUUGUCAAAUAUCCAACUUGUGGAAACUGUGCAAGCAAGGGAGUUUUGCUUCAUCAAUACUAUAAAAUAAACUGAAGUUAAAAUGGGUGCUGCCCAAUGCAAUUGUCAAACAUUGCUGCCGCAAUACAAAGACAAAUGUUUAUUGGCUUAACUUUGAAACUGCAGUAAAUGCUCUUCUAUUCAAUUAGAUAAACAAAUAAAGUACUGAGUGUAUAAUGGGGUUCUUUCAAGUAAAUUAUGCUUCCUAACUCAUGUGUAA